CCUGGUUGACCUUGCCAGUAGUCAUAUGCUUGUCUCAAAUAUUAAGCCAUGCAUGUCUAAGUAUGAACUAGUUCAGACUGUGAAAUUGUGGAUGGCUCAUUAAACCAGUUAUAGUUUUUUUGAUGGUACCAUACUACUCGAAUAGCCGUAGUAAUUCUAGAGAUCAUACAUGCACUAAGUCCUAAAUCUUUGGAAGGGAUGCAUUUUUUAGAUAAAAGGCUGGUGCGGGCUUGCCCGCUUCUCUAGUGAAUCAUGAUAACAUGAUGGAUCACACAUCCAUUGCGCUGGUGAUGCUUCAUUCAAAUUUCGGCCCUAUCAACUUUCGAUGGUAGGAUAGAGGCCUACCAUGGUGGUGACGGGUGAUGGAGAAUUAGGGUUGGAUUCUAGAGAGGGAGACUGAGAAAUGACUACCACAUCUAAGGAAGGUAGCAGGCGUGCAAAUUGCCCAAUCCUGAAAUGGGAAGGUAGUGACAAUAAAUAACAAUACUCGACUCAUCAAGUCUGGUAAUUGGAAUGAGUACAAUCUAAAUCCCUUAAUGAGGAUCCAUUGGAGGGAAAUUCUGGUGCCAGCAGCGAUGGUAAUUCCAACUCCAAUAGUGUAUAUUUAAGUUGUUGCAGUUAAAAUGCUUGUAGUUGGAUCUUGUGUUGUAAAGGUCGGUCCACCUACUUGAUGUGCACCUACGCUUCCAUCCCUUUUGUCGGUUGCAUGCUCCUGGACUUAAUUGGGUGGGUUGCAGCUCUGACACUGUUACUUUAAAAAAAUUAGAGUGCUCAAAGCAAGCUUAUGCUCUGAAUACAUUAGCAUGGAAUAACAUGAUAGGAUUCUGGUCCUAUUUUGUUGGCCUUUGGGACCAGAGUAAUGAUUAAUAGGGACUUUCAGGGGCAUUUGUAUUUCAUUGUUAGAGGUGAAGUUCUUGGAUUUAUGAAAGACAAACCACUAUGAAAGCAUUUUCCAAGGAUGUUUUCAUUAAUCAAGAACGAAAGUUGGGGGCUCAAAGACGAUCAAAUACCGUCCUAGUCUCAACCAUAAACAAUGCCGACCAGGGAUUGGUGGAUGUUGCUCUAAGGAUUCCACUAGAAACUUCUAAGAAAUCAAAGUGUUUGGGUUCUGGGGGGAGUAUUGUGUCAAGGUUGAAACUUAAAGGAAUUGAUGGAAGGGCACCAUCAAGUGUAGAGCCUAUGGCUUAAUUUGACUCAACACGAGGAAAAUUACCAAGUCCAGACAUAGUAAGGAUUGAUAGAUUGAAAGCUCUUUCUUGAUUUUAUGGGUGGUGGUGCAUGGCCGUUCUUAGUUGCUCGAGCAAUUUGGCUGGUUAAUUCCAAUAACGAAUGAAACUUCAACCUGCUAACUAGCUAUGCAGAGGUUCCCCUUUCCGGCCAAUAUCUUAGAGGGACUAUGGCCAUUUAGGCCAUGGAAGUUUGAGGCAAUAACAGGUUUGUGAUUCCCUUAGAUGUUUUGGGCCACACACAUGCUACACUGAUGCAGCUAAUGAGUUUUUCUUCCUGGUUCGAGAGGAUUGGGAAAUCUUCUCAAAUUGAACCAUGAUGGGGAUAAGCCAUUGCAAUUAUUGGUCUUAAAUGAGGAAUUCCUAGUAAGCAUGUGUCAUCAACUCAUGUUAACCACGUCCCUACCCUUUGUACACACCACCCGCCUCUCCUACCAAUUGAAUGAUUUGGUGAAGUGUUCGGAUUGUGUCGACGAUGGUGUUUCGCCACCGUCGACAUCAUGAGAAGUUCAUUGAACCUUAUCAUUUAAAGGAAGGAGAAGUCAUAACAAGGUUACGAUAGGUGAGCCUCCAGUAG
This 1803-nucleotide ribosomal RNA is filed under the name Pinus taeda (loblolly pine). Its description in RNAcentral is "SSU rRNA". It matches the Rfam family "Eukaryotic small subunit ribosomal RNA". Lineage: Eukaryota; Viridiplantae; Streptophyta; Pinopsida; Pinales; Pinaceae. The record is from RNAcentral.